Molecule: ribosomal RNA, 492 nt
Filed under: uncultured bacterium
Lineage: Bacteria
Description: partial 16S ribosomal RNA
Rfam family: Bacterial small subunit ribosomal RNA
Source: RNAcentral
AUUGAACGCUGGCGGCAUGCUUUACACAUGCAAGUCGAACGGUAACAGGCCUUCGGGUGCUGACGAGUGGCGAACGGGUGAGUAAUGCAUCGGAACGUACCCAGAGGUGGGGGAUAACGCAGCGAAAGCUGUGCUAAUACCGCAUGUGAUCUGAGGAUGAAAGCGGGGGACCGAGCAGCAAUGUUUGGCCUCGCGCCUUUGGAGCGGCCGAUGUCGGAUUAGCUAGUUGGUGGGGUAAAGGCCUACCAAGGCGACGUUCCGUAGCUGGUCUGAGAGGACGACCAGCCACACUGGGACUGAGACACGGCCCAGACUCCUACGGGAGGCAGCAGUGGGGAAUUUUGGACAAUGGGCGCAAGCCUGAUCCAGCAAUGCCGCGUGCGGGAAGAAGGCCUUCGGGUUGUAAACCGCUUUUGGCAGGAACGAAACGGUAUCCGCUAAUACCGGGCGCUAAUGACGGUACCUGCAGAAUAAGCACCGGCUAACUACGUG